CGUGUAGGCGGUGCGGUAAGUUGGGCGUGAAAUCCCCGGGCUCAACCCGGGGCGGUCGUUCAAGACUGCCGUGCUAGGGUGCGGGAGAGGGAAGUGGAAUUCCCGGUGUAGCGGUGAAAUGCGUAGAUAUCGGGGGGAACACCGGCGGCGAAGGCGGCUUCCUGGACCGUAACCGACGCUGAGGCGCGAAAGCUAGGGGAGCAAACAGGAUUAGAUACCCUGGUAGUCCUAGCCCUAAACGAUGAACACUGGGUGUAGCCCUGUACGGGGCUGUGCCGAAGCUAACGCAUUAAGUGUUCCGCCUGGGGAGUACGGUCGCAAGGCUGAA
This 328-nucleotide ribosomal RNA is filed under the name uncultured bacterium. RNAcentral's name for it is "bacterial SSU rRNA". It matches the Rfam family "Bacterial small subunit ribosomal RNA", at positions 568 to 898 of the family's 1533-position model. The record is from RNAcentral.